AAAACCAGCACCAAGCUGCUCAACUUUAACAGCAACCAUGACCAACUCCGCUCUGAUUUACAUCUUUUUCUUCAUCAUUGUUUCUAAAAUCUCCGUUUCUUUCCAUUCACUGAAUCUCUGUUCACAUGUACAUAGGUAUUUUUUUAAAAUAUGUAGCUUUUUCUCGCGUUUUGGCCUUUCACCGGCAUGUAAAUGCAGUUUUUAAAAAUAUUUUUUUUGUGAAGUGUUCACAUUAUCACCUUUAUUUAUAUAAGCCGACAAAAUAGUGGAAGACUUUAUUAUACAUAAUAAAGUCAUCAAUAAAAAAUACAUCUUUAUACAUAAAUUCUAUUCAGAAAUGUCAGGUUUUAUAUUGUUUGUGGCCUACAUGAGGAAGGAAAUGCCAUUUUUAAGGCUUCUGACUUGCCAAUAUGCUUUAUCGUCAGGAUUAUGUCGCCCCCUGCUGGUGUGUCAGACUCAUUACAUGGACUCAAUUGUGUUUUUGAAUGAACAUCAGGAUGGGGGUUGUUAAUAUAUAAUGUUAGUCAUAAUUCGGAAAGCCCCUGUUUAAACAGUCCCUCUUUAGUUUGAAACUAGUAAACAUAGUAAAAGUUACGCAUUUUAAAAAUAAAACUCAUUAAUGUGGACUUGGUCUGUAAUCAAAGUUACUCCAAGAAGGAAGACCUUGUUGGUAAACCUGUUAUUAAUUCACUUCCUGACACCUGAUCUGCUCCUGAUGAUGGUUUUAUAGUAAAACUAAAAGAUUGAAACUUUUUUUUUUUUUUUUUUUGGAGUAAAUGUACAAAUAUACAGCGUGCUUUAAAUCAGAAAUGCGUCGCUCUAAAUUCAAUUUGGUGGGAAAUUAUUUUCUGAUCCAGGGAGAAAAUUGAUGUUAGCAGAAUUUCUCAGCUAAACAUGUACAACAUUAUGUUAAAUAAGAGGGAGCACUGAUGUGACUAAUAAUCAAGCAUCAACCAGCUGAAAUGGACCCUUUAUUGUCAUUAAUUAGAAUACAUACAUAUCAGCUGCCUUUGUAAUGUCAUGUCAAAAUUUCUACAGCAAGAAAGUCCUGGUUUCUUUCACUACAGCACACUUUCACCUGACAUUUUUUCCCCUUUACUAGAUAGUCAAAGUGGAAAUGUGGUGAAAGAGAGAGCGAGAGGAAGAUCCAGCCAACUGAAAUAUGGACGACCCUAACUGCUUCCCAUGUAAUAUUCAACACGCGUGUCCGUCACAGCCAAACAAAGAGGUCACUGGGGCGGAGGAGGCUGAUUCCUGGAUGGGAUGUCGGUCUGUUCUAUGAGCUCAUCAGCGAGGUUUGACCACAAACAGGAUUUACAUCAGAAAGGCAGGAAGGUGUCGGCUAAUAGAGUGAAAACUAUCCAGAGGCCAGCAGGGAAACAACAUAUUUGAACUUCUUUCAGUGUUUUUAUCCCAUUUCUUUGUUUUUGUGUUGUUUUAAUUGGUUUCAUUUCAUGCAAUAUGUGUGUUUGCAUGUCGGUGUUUGUGUUUGUUUGGUAAACAUAUGAACAUUUGUGUUGUGUGUUGGAAGAAAACAAACCAAGAAAUUAACUUCAUCACUGAGCAACAAACAUCAGUCAGGAUAUGAAAUAAGUUG
This is a long non-coding RNA of Amphiprion ocellaris (clown anemonefish), 1597 nucleotides long. NCBI's taxonomy places the organism in Eukaryota, Metazoa, Chordata, Actinopteri, Pomacentridae. The record is from Ensembl.